RNAcentral lists this ribosomal RNA (681 nucleotides) under Triticum aestivum (bread wheat). Its description in RNAcentral is "partial small subunit ribosomal RNA". The record is from RNAcentral. Lineage: Eukaryota; Viridiplantae; Streptophyta; Magnoliopsida; Poales; Poaceae.
AUGGAGGUAGAUCUUUGUUCUCCAAGGCCGAGAUACAUUUUCAUGUUGCUCUUUUUUUUUUUUGAAACGGAGGCAAAAUAUUUGCCUCAUCGAUUAAUUAAGAAGAAGAGAAUUGCCCAGUUAAUUUUCGAAAAACCGAGCGAAAACCGAUACAAACAACCCGAAACAGGCUACUCGGGAAGCACGAAACACCGUGACCACACAGACAACCCGUCACAUGCUCCUAACACACAACAAUCAUACCUCACCACACUUGCACAACUCAACAGAACCCUGACAAGAUCACCAACAACGAUGACUCGGACAAUCAAAGCAACAUCGACAACACAAGAAACUAAGCAUCAUCCAUCAAGAAACCGCAGACGCUUUCCCAUUAGCGCACACACCGGCCACAUCAAUAUCCUCAACCACAUGCACCUCCGACCCGAAGGACUCAGAAGACGCAUGAUCAUCCUUAGGUUGGAUGUGGCUCAUAAAUCCAGAACACUUGCUCCUCAUGAGCUUGACACCCGCUCUAGGCUCAAGAGGAGAUUGAUUAGCUUGAUUGUGCUUGAGCGCACGUGGAAGAAGCAAUGUUCCUGGAUCAAAAACUUAAAGGAAGUGGACACAAAUACAAAAUUCUUCCAUCUUACGGUAAAUGCCUGGAGAAGGAAAACACAUUCAUCGACCUAUAACUGUUGA